GACUUGGCAUGCUGGGGGGUCCUCGUUCACUCUCUGAAGUUGGCCUCCUUUCACUGGGGAUUGAAAAGCACCUCCACCCCUACCCUAGUGAUGUCCCCUGAGGACCCGGGUGAUAGUACAGUCAAUAUUGUCAGUACUUUGCUUUGAUUGAAGGCUGUAGAGCUGAGUUACCAAAAUUUCUAUUUCAAAGGAAACCAAACCUUAAAAAAAAAAAACAAAAACUGGGCUGGGUCUUCCAAACCUACCAUGAAACCCUGGUGUGCAGGCUGCACUCAAUGACCUCAACCCAACACCUCCCUGAGUGUGCUUCUUGGAAGAGCCUAGAAGAUUCCUGGAUGGAGACCCCAUUGGUUCAGCCUCAAGUCUGGCCCGUCUUCGAAAAAACAAACACAUUUGUAAGCUUUGUGGGAGCUUCCAGGCCUGCUCUAAGAUGCCUUGCUUGUCCUUUGACCCAUCAGCAUGGAGCUCAGUGGUUGCUGUUUGGUUCUGCAGGCUGGUGGGGAGGCCGCCCAUCGUGGUGGGGCAUCUGUCCAGCCCCAUUGCCACUCAGGGCAUCCAAACAGGAGGCACCCGCUGGGAAGGGUCUAAAGAUACUCCUUGUGGCCACUGCUACUGUUCACACUUGACUUGUGGAGAAGCGAAGGGCUGAGGGGAGGUUUGUGUACACCCAUGUAUUUAAAAGUGACUGACUGACUGAAAUGAGCACAUACCGACAUAUGCAACAUACUAAUACCUUCCUGAUUUUCGAGACUUUCUAAUUACUACAACUAACCUGUUGUGCUCACCUCUGGAAUUCAGAAAGAGAGCCACUGCGAGCACUGACCACAAGGGCUGCCUUAGGAAGGAAAUGUGUGCUUUCAGGAGUUCUUAUUAGGGGAAUUUUAAGAGCACAAAAAUUUUAUUGAACCCACCUUAGUGACAAACAGAAAAUGAUUUGUUAGAUUGUCAGUUGGAAGGGGUUUAUUAUGACUGCUGGUGAAAUAAACAGUGACCAGUUUCUGCCAACAUUUAUGGAAAUAACGUUUCUAGGUUUUAAAUGUGAGCCGUAAACUGAAGCUACUUCAGUUAAAAAAAAAAAAAUCAAUACUUAAACUGUAGGGAAAAGGUGGAUUGGUGCCAGAGAAAACAUUAUUUAAUAGUGUCAGAACAUGGAACUGCAACACAGUUUGUAGCAAGGCACUGAGAAAAACCCACAACUAAUCCUUCAUCGCAGCUGUCUGAACUCUUGAUCAUCUGCCAUCCCCCAAACAGUGACUUCUUUUUUUCUGGUGACUCCAGGCCUGAAUGACCUAGUGUGGAGAGUUUAAACUAUGUACAAGGGAGGAAAGAAAAAAAGGAAAGGAACCUUAAGUAAGCCUCAGCCAAAGGUUUUAUGCAUUGGACUUCCUGUGCCUGCCCCCAGGGGCAAGACUGAUCCCCAUGCCUGUGCCCAUGACAUCUCCCUGAAAGAGGACACCAUGACAGCCCGGCUUUGCCUUGACUGACCCACUGCUACCCCAGAAAUAAGAAUCAAGAGCAGCUAUUGUUAUCCUUAGAGUGUUUUCCGUCUAGGGCCGGCUCGUGAACAGCCACAUAUCCUUGCACCUGACACUGUCCCCACACAAAUAGCUGGCUUUCGUUGCUUGUUGAAUGAAUGAGUGAGUUGGCUCUAUAUCCCCUUGGAGCUGGCCGGUAAGAUAUUAGUGCCUCAUUUUACAAGAAGAGAAUAGGAAGGAAUUAAGCAAUUUGGCCAACAGAUACAAGAUAGAUUCCAGAGUUUUAUCUCCCACUUUAGGGUGGCAGCCAGUAGGCCAAACUCCAAAGACCGUUGCUGAUGUCUUUUUCUGCCUCCCCUCUUUGGGUUAGUGUGGUAUGUACAAGCUCACUCUUGUUGAAAAUUAGAAAAUAGUUGAAAACAAAAGGUUUUUGUUUUUCUUUUUAAAUCACAUUAAAUGUUUUACAUUGCUUA
RNAcentral lists this long non-coding RNA (1948 nucleotides) under Homo sapiens (human). RNAcentral describes it as "non-protein coding lnc-CRTAP-1:1". Lineage: Eukaryota; Metazoa; Chordata; Mammalia; Primates; Hominidae. The record is from RNAcentral.